RNAcentral lists this ribosomal RNA (1388 nucleotides) under uncultured bacterium. RNAcentral's name for it is "16S ribosomal RNA". It matches the Rfam family "Bacterial small subunit ribosomal RNA". The record is from RNAcentral.
GCUUAACACAUGCAAGUCGAGGGGCAGCGGGGUAGUGCCUGCACUACUGCCGGCGACCGGCGCACGGGUGAGUAACACGUAUGGAACCUGCCCGCAGCAGGGGGAUAAGCGGAAGAAAUUCCGUCUAAUACCGCGUAACAACGUUGGGAGGCAUCUCCCGAUGUUUAAAGAUUUAUCGGCUGCGGAUGGCCAUGCGGCGCAUUAGCUAGUCGGCGGGGUAACGGCCCACCGAGGCGACGAUGCGUAGGGGUUCUGAGAGGAAGGUCCCCCACACUGGUACUGAGACACGGACCAGACUCCUACGGGAGGCAGCAGUGAGGAAUAUUGGUCAAUGGCCGAGAGGCUGAACCAGCCAAGUCGCGUGAGGGAUGACGGCCCUACGGGUUGUAAACCUCUUUUGUCGGGGAGCAAAGGGAGUCACGUGUGACUCAUUGAGAGUACCCGAAGAAAAAGCAUCGGCUAACUCCGUGCCAGCAGCCGCGGUAAUACGGAGGAUGCGAGCGUUAUCCGGAUUUAUUGGGUUUAAAGGGUGCGCAGGCGGAGGUGCAAGUCAGCGGUCAAAUUGCGGGGCUCAACCCCGUACUGCCGUUGAAACUGCAUCCCUUGAGUGCGCGAGAAGUAUGCGGAAUGCGUGGUGUAGCGGUGAAAUGCAUAGAUAUCACGCAGAACUCCGAUUGCGAAGGCAGCAUACCGGCGCGCAACUGACGCUCAUGCACGAAAGCGUGGGUAUCGAACAGGAUUAGAUACCCUGGUAGUCCACGCAGUAAACGAUGAACCCUAACUGUUCGGCCAGAAUGAUGGCUGAGUGGUACAGCGAAAGCGUUAAGUGUUCCCCUGGGGGAGUACGCCGGCAACGGUGAAACUCAAAGGAAUUGACGGGGGCCCGCACAAGCGGAGGAACAUGUGGUUUAAUUCGAUGAUACGCGAGGAACCUUACCCGGGCUCAAACGACACAGGAAUACUUUUGAAAGGAGGUAGCCCUACGGGGUCUGUGUCGAGGUGCUGCAUGGUUGUCGUCAGCUCGUGCCGUGAGGUGUCGGCUUAGUGCCAUAACGAGCGCAACCCCUAUCGCCAGUUGCCAUCAAGUAAAGUUGGGGACUCUGGCGAGACUGCCGGCGCAAGCUGUGAGGAAGGCGGGGAUGACGUCAAAUCAGCACGGCCCUUACGUCCGGGGCGACACACGUGUUACAAUGGCAGGUACAGAGAGAAGCCAGGUGGCGACACCGAGCGGAACUCGAAAGCCUGUCUCAGUUCGGAUCGGAGUCUGCAACCCGACUCCGUGAAGCUGGAUUCGCUAGUAAUCGCGCAUCAGCCAUGGCGCGGUGAAUACGUUCCCGGGCCUUGUACACACCGCCCGUCAAGCCAUGGAAGCCGGGAGUGCCUGAAGU